This is a long non-coding RNA of Arabidopsis lyrata subsp. lyrata, 1516 nucleotides long. RefSeq lists it as uncharacterized. The transcript is spliced from 3 exons. NCBI's taxonomy places the organism in Eukaryota, Viridiplantae, Streptophyta, Magnoliopsida, Brassicales, Brassicaceae. The record is from RefSeq and is a predicted model, not a curated record.
AGCAUCAGUAGAAUAUGGCAAGAAAAAACAUGGUUCCAUGCUUCCAAGCAACUUGUUUGAUAGUGGCAAAACCGUCACAGGUCCUCCCCAUCCGAAAUCAAUCGUGGAAUGCCCCAAGUAUCGCCAGUCCGUGAAUCCGGUCACUCCUGUUUUACACAAUCCCAACAAGAAAACCAAAAAAGCAUGAAACUUUGACUUUGCUCUUGGAAGUCGAUAAAGGAGCGUACAUAUUCAUCACUCGUAUUGGAUUUGCUCUGUUUUAUGAGCUCUGCAGUUUUCCAGAUUGGUUGCUCAAUGAGUUCUCCAGCUUUGAUCUGAGCAUACAUUGGCACACAUCCGUUUCCCCAGUAGCCUUUAGGCAAAGAUCAAACAUUUCAAGAAAUUUGAUGAAUUAAACAUCGCGAAGAAGGGGUUUACUUACUUCGCACGCCAAAUGUAAGCACCUAGAGCUUCGAAUGUGGUGAAAUUCACACCCGAUUUCUCGAGUAAUUGAGCCUUCAAUUGGUCCAAAGACUCGUCGGUCACGAAGAAGCACUCUCUCUUGACGUCUCCAAUGGCUUGUCCAUAUGGAUCAAAGUCCUUAUCCAGGCUCAAGAAGUCACGAACUGGAGCUCCAACCCAAGGCUUCUCCCUUGGACCAAGUAAUCGUUCUCUGUCCCAAGCUGGUUCAAUCGAGAUCUUAGUCGCUCCACGAGCUAAUUCCGCCAUAGCGUUGAAGAAAAGACUCGCACCUAACCCAUCACAGAUCGCGUGGUGAAUCGCUGCUCCUAAAACCCAACCACCACACUGAAACAUCGUGACUUGGAGUAUACACGGAUUAACCAUUCCUUCCUCCCGGGUCGGAUCCGGUACCAAUCUUUCGACAAAACCUGGAUCGGGUCCAUCCAAAUACCCGACGGACUCAAGCGUACAGUUAACAGAAGCGUUGACUAAAGGCACGCUUUGACCAGCAGCACAGUAUAGUUCAAAACGGUUAUCGGUGGCAGAGCGACGGAGAGAGCCAGCGAGAGGGUAAUAAUGGACAAGAGCAGUGGCGAGAGAAGCGGAGACGACUUCAGAGGGGCUUUUCCCGGCGACGGUGGAAGAGGAGGAGUAGACGCGGAGGUAACGGAAGCUGACGUGGAGGUUGUUAUCGUUAUCAAGAUGAGAGAGAGAGAGUGUCUGGUCGUUGGAGAGUGGUUGGUGAGAAGGUUGAACCAGGGCUAUUUCGGUAAUUUCAAGUGUCGCCAUACCUUAAUAUUAAGAUUGGGGUAUGGGGUCUUUGUUGCUUCCAAAAUAAGUUUUGGGGUCCAAAUAUAUAAUAUCGAUCAGAGAAGCAAAAUCAAUGCCUUGAGGACAGCUCACGAGAGUAGGGGCUUCACCAACUACCAAACAGUCAAGUCCCAUGUCCAAAUUUCUUACCUACAACACUUUCAAACAAACCAUUUUAGUCUUUUUCUUAUUCAUACUUGUCUUCACUGUUUUUAUGAUCGUGUUUGUAUGAAUCUUUUCAAUCAUGCUUGUUGUCUUCACUGUU